Podarcis lilfordi (Lilford's wall lizard) is the source of this 73-nucleotide non-coding RNA. Lineage: Eukaryota; Metazoa; Chordata; Lepidosauria; Squamata; Lacertidae. The record is from the annotation of a GenBank genome assembly.
GCUGGGGUAGCUCAGUGGGUAGAGCAUGGACCUCUCAAUCUCAGGGUUGUGGGUUCGAGCCCCAUGUUGGGCA